RNAcentral lists this ribosomal RNA (500 nucleotides) under uncultured bacterium. RNAcentral's name for it is "partial 16S ribosomal RNA". It matches the Rfam family "Bacterial small subunit ribosomal RNA", at positions 30 to 523 of the family's 1533-position model. The record is from RNAcentral.
AUUGAACGCUGGCGGCAUGCCUUACUCAUGCAAGUCGAACGGUAACGCGGGGGCAACCCUGGCGACGAGUGGCGAACGGGUGAGUAAUACAUCGGAACAUGUCCAGUAGCGGGGGAUAACCUGUCGAAAGAUAGGCUAAUACCGCAUACGAUCUACGGAUGAAAGCGGGGGACCGCAAGGCCUCGCACUAUUGGAGUGGCCGAUGUCGGAUUAGCUAGUUGGUGAGGUAAAAGCUCACCAAGGCGACGAUCCGUAGCUGGUCUGAGAGGACGAUCAGCCACACUGGAACUGAGACACGGGCCAGACUCCUACGGGAGGCAGCAGUGGGGAAUUUUGGACAAUGGGCGCAAGCCUGAUCCAGCCAUGCCGCGUGAGUGAAGAAGGCCUUCGGGUUGUAAAGCUCUUUCGGUGAAGACGAAACGGUUAGCGUUAAUAGCGCUGACUAAUGACGGUACUCACAGAAGAAGCACCGGCUAACUACGUGCCAGCAGCCGCGGUAA